GACGAACGCUGGCGGCGUGCUUAACACAUGCAAGUCGAACGGAAAGGCCCUGCUUUUUUGGGGUGCUCGAGUGGCGAACGGGUGAGUAACACGUGAGUAACCUGCCCUUGACUUUGGGAUAACUUCAGGAAACAGGGGCUAAUACCGCAUAGGAGCUCCUGCUGCAUGGUGGGGGUUGGAAAGUUUCGGCGGUUGGGGAUGGACUCGCGGCUUAUCAGCUUGUUGGUGGGGUAGUGGCUUACCAAGGCUUUGCCGGGUAGCCGGCCUGAGAGGGUGACCGGCCACAUUGGGACUGAGAUACGGCCCAGACUCCUACGGGAGGCAGAAGUGGAGAAUAUUGCACAAUGGGCGGAAGCCUGAUGCAGCAACGCCGCGUGCGGGAAGACGGCCUUCGGGUUGUAAACCGCUUUCGCCUGUGACGAAGCGUGAGUGACGGUAAUGGGUAAAGAAGCACCGGCUAACUACGUG
This 468-nucleotide ribosomal RNA is filed under the name uncultured bacterium. RNAcentral's name for it is "partial 16S ribosomal RNA". It matches the Rfam family "Bacterial small subunit ribosomal RNA", at positions 28 to 507 of the family's 1533-position model. The record is from RNAcentral.